GCUGGGUUUUGAGAAUUGUUUGACUAUUACUUACGAUAGUUACCUAAGUAUGAAACUUGCUUUCACAUAAUGUCUAGGUUGUAAUGCUAAUCCAUGUCUUUGUGUAAUAAAGGUGGCAAUGUGCUGUGAAAGCUUUUUUUAUAUUUUUUAUAUAUAUAUUUUCACAGGGUGGUCUGACCCAGACACAGAACACUAGUGCAUAGCCCAGGAUGCUAGGUGGAAGAACGUUUGUGUUUAACUCCUUCACAUGACUAUACCACGAAACUCUAUUUCAAGAUGAAGCAAGUGCUUGUCUAUUUAAAAACGUGCUUCAAAAAUGCCAAGUUGUUGCAUACUGUCUUCAGUGUUACAUAUGAAUAUCAAAUUAGACACUAACAGUCAAAUAUCUUAGUCAUAAAUCAACGGGAGGUGGAGCCCCCCAACUCCUAACUGGAUGGUCUGGAGACAGUCGGGGAGGAGAGAACGCAAGGAGGCUGGACUGUUUUAUUUUUAUUUUGUUUGUUUGAUUCCUAUUCAUAUUCUUAUUUUUGUUGAAUGUCUGAUUCCUAUUCACUUCCCUGCACUCAAAUCACAUUGUGUGUAUGUAAUUUUAUUUAUGUUUUAUUUUAUUUUUUAUUUAUUGUCUGAUUUUGAUUUAUGUUUGAUAUAUACGUUAAUGCCUUUUUAGGUUGUAUAGCCUUUUUCACUCUGGCAGGGGGACUGCCAAUGGAAACUAGCCUUUUGGCUACAAUUGGGUGCAUUUACAUCUUAAUGUUCAUGAAUGUACACUGUCCCUCUUCAUCAAAUAAACAAACUGAUUGAUUGAUUGAUGGCAUGUUGCAUUACUCAAUAGAAUAUUGUGCCCAUUUCCUCUAACCAUCUCUGUAGCAUAGCAUAGCAUAGCAUGUUUUGUAUUUCUUCCUGUGUUUGCCCUGGAAUCUAAAUACUGGCUGUCUUGAGAUUGGGUAGCCUGGGUACCAGAUUAAUUUAGCCCCGCCCACAACAUUUGAGGUCUGGAAGUUCGGUCUGGCAUUGCUCGUUGGGGAGAAAAUAUGCCGACAAAAACUUUACCAGACCAAUCAAAUUGUCAGGGCGGGCUUUAUACGAUGAUGAGCAGAUGAUCAACCGUAACGUAAUCAACCACGUCACCAAAGCGUUUGGGUUGAAUUCGUUUUUAACAAACAUGACUGCCGCUGGAGAUCUGAAAUGUGGAGAUUCAAGUCUGUUUU
This is a long non-coding RNA of Clupea harengus (Atlantic herring), 1208 nucleotides long. Lineage: Eukaryota; Metazoa; Chordata; Actinopteri; Clupeiformes; Clupeidae. The record is from Ensembl.